GCAAUAAUGCAACUGCAAGAUAAAUGACCAUUAAUCUGGAGAAAAGUCUCUUGAAGUAAGUCUCAGGGCUCCAUAAAGGACCUUGUCCAGCUACUUAUUGAAGACUUGUGUGAGGACAGUGAAAGAAUGCUGAUCAAAUUGUAAGUAGCACAAAGCUAUGCUGUAUAUCUAAUAUGUCAGAGGUCAGAAUCAAGGCUCAAAAAGGUCUUUAGAUGCUGGAGUAAUGGCCCAAAUCCAAUAAAAACAAAAUUUACAGGGAAUAAUGUGAGGUCUUGAACUUCAGACUGAAAACUCAAUUGGGGGGAGAUGUAGCUUAAUAGUAGAUCUGUGAAUAAAAAUCUCAGGCGGUGGGGGCGGGUGGUUCUUAACUGACUAUAAACUUGAUAUGAAUCCAUAGUAAUAGGAUUGUUCAAAAACAGAGAUCAGUUUUGGGUUACAUUCAUGGAUGUUUUGCAUCCAAGAUGAGAGUAGUGAUCAGUCUCGUUCUUUGUGCUUCUUAGACAAUACCUGAAGUUUUACAUUCUAUUUUGGGAGCUACACUUGAAGACGGACAGAAAUGUAUGAGGACAUGCUCAUCAUGGGACAAAAACAUUUGGAAUCAUUCAUUCACUUAUUUACUUACUCAUUCAGUAGAUCUUUACUGGGUGCCCACCAUGCUCCAGACUCUUGGUCCUGCAGCAUGCUCUACUCGCUGUGCGUGGGACCUGUGAGAUAAUCAGUGAAGAGAGACGGAAGGAUAUGAAAAUGAGAGAGUUUCUACAGUUCUGAGAUUCCUUGGGGCGUGUGCAGAAUGGAGCAAUCGAAGAACAGCAAAUUUCACAGUAUGGUCUGCCAUCUGUAUAGGAACAGCAAGAAAACUGAUGGGAUUUCUCUCCCUGGCAGAUAUUUAUUUCUCAAGUGCUUUUAAAACAGGAAGUCUGCAAAAUUCUUCACAAGUGGUUAAAACAUGAAGAUUGAUUUACAAAUGUAUAUUUACGAGGAAGAACUAUUUUACAAUGUGUCUAAAAUUUCCAUUGAAAACCUAACCAAAUAUUUGUAGCUUCCCCCCAGACUCCUUUGCUCUACAAUUUUAAUAAAUCAAGGAACAUUUGUAAGUGCUAAAUGUUAAACAGUUAUUCACAGUUAAUUUUUAAUCAACUAACAACAGUUAUGUGUUAAUUGAAUGCCAUUAACAAACCAUAACUUGAUGCAUUAGCUCUUUUGUUAUGCAAGGAAACUUUUCCCUGAAGCUUUUAUAUAUUGUCUGACUUCCUUCUAAAUAGAACAUCAAUAUCUAUAGACUAUGAAUUUAACACAUGUGUUUCUUGACAUUUAGGUGUGUGUAUGUGUAUGUGUGUCCCUGCACCCAUGUAAAACAAAUCAGAAUGUACUAAAGUAUUGAAAAUGAAAGAGAAAUCCAAAUACAGUCUUGAUGCAGAGUUAGAUAUGCAAAAGCCAAAACAGAAGCCAAUUUGACAUUUUGGAAUUUUAAUCUUAACUCUUAUUUUUACUUUGAAUUUCUGAACUAGUUACUUAAUAUUUCUUUGGCUUUUAUUUUCAAGAAAACAGGGCUGGAUUUAUUUUGAUAGGGGAUAUUUCUUCAUCCUAGACUGAAAUAGAAAAUUAACACCAUUCCUACAACUCAAAAGACUAAUAAAAAUUAACAUAUAUCAGCAUUCUAAUAUAUUAUUUAUUUAUUUUUGAGAUAGGGUCUUGCUCUGUUGCCCAGGGUGG
Molecule: long non-coding RNA, 1713 nt
Organism: Pan troglodytes (chimpanzee)
Lineage: Eukaryota; Metazoa; Chordata; Mammalia; Primates; Hominidae
Source: Ensembl